GACGUAGGGCGCGAGCGUUGUCCGGAAUUAUUGGGCGUAAAGAGCUCGUAGGCGGCUUGUCGCGUCGUCUGUGAAAUCCCACGGCUCAACUGUGGGCUUGCAGUCGAUACGGGCAGGCUGGAGUUCGGUAGGGGAGACUGGAAUUCCUGGUGUAGCGGUGAAAUGCGCAGAUAUCAGGAGGAACACCGGUGGCGAAGGCGGGUCUCUGGGCCGAUACUGACGCUGAGGAGCGAAAGCGUGGGGAGCGAACAGG
Molecule: ribosomal RNA, 253 nt
Filed under: uncultured bacterium
Lineage: Bacteria
Description: partial 16S ribosomal RNA
Rfam family: Bacterial small subunit ribosomal RNA
Source: RNAcentral